UUAGUUAAAGCCAAAAUAGAGGUAAUUUUUUGUUAAGAAAUGAAGUGAUAGUAAUCUAGCUAAA
This 64-nucleotide transfer RNA is filed under the name Neomysis awatschensis. RNAcentral's name for it is "tRNA-Asn". Lineage: Eukaryota; Metazoa; Arthropoda; Malacostraca; Mysida; Mysidae. The record is from RNAcentral.